AUUGAACGCUGGCGGCAGGCCUAACACAUGCAAGUCGAACGAGUGGCGGACGGGUGAGUAAUGUCUGGGAAUCUGUCUUAUGGAGGGGGAUAACUACUGGAAACGGUAGCUAAUACCGCGUACCAUAAGAUGUGCCCAGGUGGGAUUAGCUAGUUGGUGGGGUAAAGGCUCACCAAGCCGACGAUCACUAGCUGGUCUGAGAGGAUGACCAGCCACCCUGGAACUGAGACACGGCCCAGACUCCUACGGGAGGCAGCAGUGGGGAAUAUGGCGCAAGGGGGGCAAGCCUGAUGCAGCCAUGCCGCGUGUAUGAAGAAGGCCUUCGGGUUGUAAAGUACUUUCAGUGGGGAGGCGUUACCCGCAGAAGAAGCACCGGCUAACUCCGUGCCAGCAGCCGCGGUAAUAC
This 406-nucleotide ribosomal RNA is filed under the name uncultured bacterium. RNAcentral's name for it is "partial 16S ribosomal RNA". It matches the Rfam family "Bacterial small subunit ribosomal RNA", at positions 30 to 526 of the family's 1533-position model. The record is from RNAcentral.